This is a long non-coding RNA of Lolium rigidum, 2322 nucleotides long. RefSeq lists it as uncharacterized. The record is from RefSeq and is a predicted model, not a curated record. The transcript is spliced from 9 exons. NCBI's taxonomy places the organism in Eukaryota, Viridiplantae, Streptophyta, Magnoliopsida, Poales, Poaceae.
CGCAUCGUUGUGCGCGGGGAGGACGGGCUAGGACGUCGACGAGCGUAUGGAGGCAGGGCUCCGCCAGAGCGGCAAUUUUGCCUCGUCACCGAAUGGAAGGAGGACUACGAGGGGCCUUCUUCUACACGUUCUUAUUAAUCUCAGGUUUGCAUCUGGACAUCCUCUUCUUCUCCUUUCUGCUUGAUAUCUCGUUCAGAUCUGAGGAGCUCAUGGUCUUCUUUGUGUUUUGGAGAGGUUGGGGGUAUGGCUGCUGCAGAUACGGGCUUUCCUUGAAGGGAUGCUUUUUUUCCUUUUGGUUUUACACAUAUGGAGUAAGGUUCUCCUAUUUCCGCCGGAGAUGCCACGCAUUAGCACAGAGCACAUUUGUACAGGGGUUAUUUCUGGAGGAGGUCUGUGACUACUACAGUAGUUUGCGUUCUGAAUUUUUGCAGUGCUGACAAGAAGAGUCUAACUAUGAAAGAGUUAUCAGAUCUCCAAGAAGUGAUGAAUGGCAAAGAAUUGUUCGUUUACACCGAUAUUUAUCAGAUAUUGUUAGAAGAUGAAGCUAGAUAUUACUAGACUUCUAUUUUGGGAUUCUAGAUCUGUCCCAGAUGACAAUCGUUUAAUCAACUUGUGCACAGUUUGUGGUUCAUCAUACCAUGGUAAGGUCCUUAUUUUCUGGUUCAAUCAACUUCAGCAUGUGGAUCAUGAUCUGUUUCAACAAUAUACUUCCAUCCUCUAUGAUCAUUUUUAUAUUGAUGUUUGGUGAGAGGAAUCAUGAUCUGUUGCAUGUUAGUCCAUUAACAUGUGCUGCAGCCUGGAGGGCCCCUCUAUUCUGUUAGCUAAAUAUUACGGUGCUUAUAAAAUAAAGAAAGUAAUAUGUAAAUAGCAUAGGGAAACCUGAAAUUUCUCCCAGAGAUAACAUCCAACUGUUUUUGUUAUUUUCCGCUCGAUAGUCUGUUUGUACUAUGGAUUGAUCUGUACGGAAGGCUUGAUCGCUAGCAUCGCUGCUGCUCCUCCUCUUUGCCCUCUUUGGCAUUGAGUAAGAGGAGCACGUGCUGCCUCCAAACCUCAUCAGAGGGGAUGACGCCUCGGCUGCCGGCAUAGAGAAUAACGAAGAUAAUGUGUUUUCUCACUAUAAGUCUACUAAACUUGAGAGUCUUUGGUUCAGUUUAGCCGAUGGCCUUUCUGAAUGUGCCUCCAUGGAUGGAGCUGUGUUGAUGGCGCUGUUGGAUACAUGAAUGAAGUACUAUCUGAAGACUGGAACAUGCAAGUUUGGGGCUACAUGUAAAUUCCAUCAUCCCAGCGAAAAGGCUGGAAUCUAGGGAAUGGCGCAGCUAAACACGUUGGGAUACUCACUUUGACCGAUUGUGUGUUGAAGCUCCUCCAGACGGCAUCCUCCUGCAGCAAAUCCUGGUUUUUUGAUGAAUCUGUUGUUCCUUAGAUCAUGGUUAUGGGGUUGAUGCUUUCCAGCAUUGCCAGUUCAGCUAUACCAGCCAUUAGUCUCAAGCCAUACAUUUUUGAAUCCUGGACAACCAACUGCAAUGGAGGCCAUGCAAGGAAGUAAACCAUGAACACACUCUUUCACAACUGUCAAGCUUGCUGGUACAGACGCCCCACCUCCUAUCUCAAUAGUUUUGUGCUCCAAACAGGGAUUGAGCACUUCACCCAACCACUCUUCUUCUCCUACUUUUUUCAUCUCUGGGUGAUCACUUCUAAGAUAACGAACACUAUGUUCUAAAAAGUACAGAGCCAUGUGUUCAAAUCUGAAACACGGUGGAAGAUUUAGGAGCAGGCUUGUAGUCUCUACAAACAUACUCUGAUGCAUAUCUGUAAUCGAAGAAGCCAGUAACAUGAAGACUCGGGCUUUGUCACACAUCAUUACUGUUGUGUCUAGGUGAUUUCAUACCUGCCUAAUUAUGCAUACGAUUUUCCAGCUAAUCAUCCAUUUCAAUAAAGGGAGCGAUUGUACCCACCUGAGCUACACUGCCAGGGAUCAGUUAUGGACCCUUGCUCAGGAAACUCAGAGGAUAAUCAAGAUUCCUUUUUGAAUAUUACUCAAUCUUAUACUAGAAGAACUUGGUGUUUCAAAGGAUGAAUUCCAUCUUGAGCUAUGCGAAUAUAUCUAAGUUUGUGUGACUGUCCUGUUUAACACCUCUGCGCUAGCAGCGGAGUGUUCUCCUCUGUAUCUCGAUGUUUGUAAUAAAGUCAAAAGAACUAUGAAACAGCGGGGGAUUCUUCAUGUGUAAAAGCUGUCAAAUAUGUUGACCUGGCGACAAAUACAAUCAUCAUAAGCUUCGUAUGGACUUUGUCAAUAAGCAUUUGCUACUCCGUUUGUGAUUC